Molecule: long non-coding RNA, 1944 nt
Organism: Panicum virgatum (switchgrass)
Lineage: Eukaryota; Viridiplantae; Streptophyta; Magnoliopsida; Poales; Poaceae
Exons: 2
Source: RefSeq, a predicted model, not a curated record
CCGACCCCCCGAGGCCCCGGCGGCCCACCGCUUUCCUGCGCCGCCACCCACACCUUGCCCCCUCGCCGGCCCGUCCCCUACUCCGCCCACGGCAAACCGCGGCCGGCGCCCUCACCGCCGCCGCCGACCACCACUGCCUGGCGGCCAGCCGCAGCCAGCGGCGACCUUGCCGUCGCCAUGCCUCGGGGCGCCGCCGUUUCCCAGCCUCCGCCGCUCCUCCGCGCACGCCUCAACUCCGCUGCACAACCACCGCCGGCCAAACCGCCGCCUUGCCUACCUCGGUUGCGCAUUUCUGGGCUCCUAUUGUUCGGGUUUCUGGCUCCUUUGGAAGAUGCGAAAGGCUAGAGGACCGGAGCGGCGAGAUCCAAGGAAGAGGACAGGCAGGUUCUGGGAAACAUAUGCCGAGAUGACAGAAACGGAGCGGAGGGAAGCGAAGAACCAAAUGUCCUAAAACGUGGAUGCAGUGGCCGCGUUCGGGCGACAUAGUGCUUGCUGGAAGAGGAUUACGGGGUGGUGUUUGCCGGAAUAGUUGGUCCGAUUGCACUGCUGCUCGGCCACUCGGCCACGUCCACGGAGCAGUCGGCCAUUGAAGGUGGCCACGCUGAUGUGGCCAUUGCUCAAUUCACCUUUCUUCACUGCAGAUGUUUGCAUUAUCCUAGUUACUGCUCGCCAUAAGGAACUCACAAGACGGAGAAGGGUCUGGCAAGUUGCAUUUGAAGGUCAAGAAGAGAUAUAUUCAAAAUUUGCAGAAGGGCCGCUGUUGAGAAGUGCAAAGGCUUGCCAUUGGCAACCAGGACACCAAAUAAAGAAAUGGUCAGAAGUUCUGAAAAAUGAGCUUCGGGACAUGGAGAAGUCAUGAGCUUCGGGACAUGGAGAAGUCAUGCACUGGGAUUAUGCGGGUGCACUGCUUAAACAUGAGUUUCCAGCGCAUGUCUUUGUAUUUUGAAUGGUGUUCCAUUGCCCUGUCACCUGUCAUUAAAGACGCUCAUUGUCCUAUGGUUCCCUCAGGUAAACUCACUUGUAAAGAUGAGAUUUCGAAGGGGGGAAUGCACAUGGCUUAGCUUCUGUUCGUCGUCAAAUUUGGACAGCUACUCAUGGGGACUCUGACAGAGACUGAUGUGAGUUUUCCAAACGGAUUGGUUUCAAUUUGCAGUCGUUGCAGUCUUGGUCAAGAAACCUAUGGCCACAUUAUUGAUGGCAUCUACCUCAAGAGGCUACAUGUUGCUUUAGCUCCUGUGAAGCCAAACCAUACCAAAAUCGGCUGCUGCAGACGCACCGAACAGAUACCACAAUAAUUGAAAUUGAAAAAUGCAAGAUGGCACGUGCGACGUGCCCUUUGCAUCCUAGGCUCGCGGACAAAAUACGUUGACGGACGCAGGGAGUUUGCAAAUUCAUGAUUACUACUAUGCGUGGGUCCCAAUUUCCAAAGGUCGAUCCAGGGCUGGAGCUGAGAGUCCAGUCAUGGGUGCCACUUCUCUUUGUUUUGUUUCCUUUUGAAAUAGAUUAGUUCGUUUCAAAAAAAAAGAGAAGAGAGAUUAGUUUCCAAAUAACGACCUCAGGGCUUGUUUUGAGAUAUAUGGGACUGCGGCCACACCAAAAGAGCUACUGGCAUGGCAUGGUAGUGACGGUCAGUUUUUGGUUACCACGAGUAAGGAUGCAAGUGGGUACCCAUUGGUAUUUUUGGGUUUCUCAUUUUAGUUUAUUUUCUUCCCCAAAUUAAUUACAUAGUAUGUCAUUCUAGUUCAUUUUAUCAAGUUUUGGGUCGACCCAAUGACCCAAAAAAUGUGGGACUAUCCCUAACCACGAGUGUGGGAAAACAUUGCUCGUUCACUAUUGCAAAUGAGUUAUUCUGUUCAAUGCAAUGGCCCUUGGCGUCCGUAUCAGUGACUAAUUUGUAACUGCAAUUUGCAGUAGUUAAAUUGAUCUGAUGUUGAGUUUUCCAUU